GAUGAACGCUGGCGGCGUGCCUAAUACAUGCAAGUCGAGCGAACAGACGAGGAGCUUGCUCCUCUGACGUUAGCGGCGGACGGGUGAGUAACACGUGGAUAACCUACCUAUAAGACUGGGAUAACUUCGGGAAACCGGAGCUAAUACCGGAUAAUAUAUUGAACCGCAUGGUUCAAUAGUGAAAGACGGUUUUGCUGUCACUUAUAGAUGGAUCCGCGCCGCAUUAGCUAGUUGGUAAGGUAACGGCUUACCAAGGCAACGAUGCGUAGCCGACCUGAGAGGGGGAUCGGCCAAACUGGAACCGAGACACGGGCCCAACUCCUACGGGAGGCAGCAGUAGGGAAUCUUCCGCAAUGGGGGAAAGCCUGACGGAGCAACGCCGCGUGAGUGAUUAAGGUCUUCGGAUCGUAAAACUCUGUUAUUAGGGAAGAACAAAUGUGUAAGUAACUAUGCACGUCUUGACGGGACCUUAUCAGAAAGCCACGGCUAACUACGUG
RNAcentral lists this ribosomal RNA (497 nucleotides) under uncultured bacterium. Its description in RNAcentral is "partial 16S ribosomal RNA". It matches the Rfam family "Bacterial small subunit ribosomal RNA", at positions 28 to 507 of the family's 1533-position model. The record is from RNAcentral.